RNAcentral lists this ribosomal RNA (253 nucleotides) under uncultured bacterium. RNAcentral describes it as "partial 16S ribosomal RNA". It matches the Rfam family "Bacterial small subunit ribosomal RNA", at positions 524 to 776 of the family's 1533-position model. The record is from RNAcentral.
UACGUAGGGUGCGAGCGUUGUCCGGAAUUAUUGGGCGUAAAGAGCUCGUAGGUGGUCUGUUGCGUCCGCUGUGAAAACCCAGGGCUUAACCCUGGGCUGGCAGUGGAUACGGGCAGACUAGAGGUAGGUAGGGGAGAAUGGAAUUCCCGGUGUAGCGGUGAAAUGCGCAGAUAUCGGGAGGAACACCAAUGGCGAAGGCAGCUCGCUGGGACGUGACUGACGCUGAGACGCGAAAGCGUGGGGAGCAAACAGG